This 44-nucleotide ribosomal RNA is filed under the name Streptococcus pneumoniae GA62681. The record is from RNAcentral. Lineage: Bacteria; Bacillati; Bacillota; Bacilli; Lactobacillales; Streptococcaceae.
GUUAUCACGUCGCCCUGUCACGGCGAAGAUCGCGGGUUCGAUUC